This is a long non-coding RNA of Haliotis rufescens (red abalone), 155 nucleotides long. RefSeq lists it as uncharacterized. Lineage: Eukaryota; Metazoa; Mollusca; Gastropoda; Lepetellida; Haliotidae. The record is from RefSeq and is a predicted model, not a curated record. The transcript is spliced from 3 exons.
GAAACGAUGAAAGUAGUGGUAUUUCAACUGCGUACAUUGCUGCACUCCCACCUAUGCUACACCUUUCAUGUCGCUUCACAAUGCCUAACUGAAGUCAAGCUCAACAGGGUCUUCUUUCCCCGCUGAGGAUUCCAAGCUCGAGAUCAGAAGAGCAA